GCCUAAACAUGCAAGUCGAACGAGAUCUUCGGAUCUAGUGGCGCACGGGUGCGUAACGCGUGGGAAUCUGCCCUUGGGUUCGGAAUAACAGUUGGAAACGACUGCUAAUACCGGAUGAUGACGAAAGUCCAAAGAUUUAUCGCCCAGGGAUGAGCCCGCGUAGGAUUAGCUAGUUGGUGAGGUAAAGGCUCACCAAGGCGACGAUCCUUAGCUGGUCUGAGAGGAUGAUCAGCCACACUGGGACUGAGACACGGCCCAGACUCCUACGGGAGGCAGCAGUAGGGAAUAUUGGACAAUGGGGGCAACCCUGAUCCAGCAAUGCCGCGUGAGUGAUGAAGGCCUUAGGGUUGUAAAGCUCUUUUACCCGGGAUGAUAAUGACAGUACCGGGAGAAUAAGCUCCGGCUAACUCCGUGCCAGCAGCCGCGGUAAUACGGAGGGAGCUAGCGUUGUUCGGAAUUACUGGGCGUAAAGCGCACGUAGGCGGCGAUUUAAGUCAGAGGUGAAAGCCCGGGGCU
RNAcentral lists this ribosomal RNA (516 nucleotides) under Sphingomonas sp. HS362. RNAcentral describes it as "bacterial SSU rRNA". It matches the Rfam family "Bacterial small subunit ribosomal RNA", at positions 46 to 609 of the family's 1533-position model. The record is from RNAcentral. Lineage: Bacteria; Pseudomonadati; Pseudomonadota; Alphaproteobacteria; Sphingomonadales; Sphingomonadaceae.